GACGAACGCUGGCGGCGUGGAUUAGGCAUGCAAGUCGAACGGUAUCAUCCUUUCGGGGGUGAGAGAGUGGCGAACUGGUGAGUAACACGUAGGUUAUCUACCCUCAAGACGGGGACAACCCAGGGAAACUUGGGCUAAUACCGGAUGUGAGCAACUUUUAGUUGUUUGAAAGGUGGCGUAAGCUGUCGCUUGGGGAUGAGCCUGCGUCCUAUUAGUUAGUUGGUGAGGUAACGGCUCACCUAGGCAAUGAUAGGUAGGCGGCCUUAACGGGUGGUCGCCCACACUGGGAUUGAGAUACGGCCCAGACUCCUACGGGAGGCAGCAGUCGAGAAUAGUCUACAAUGGUCGGAAGACUGAUAGUGCGACGCCGCGUGAACGAUGAAUCCCUUCGGGGUGUAAAGUUCUUUUAUAUGUGAGCAGUGCUUCUUAUAUUAACAGUAUGGGGAGAGAGAUAUUAGCAUAUGAAUAAAGCAACGGCUAACUCCGUGCCAGCAGCCGCGGUAAAUCUCG
RNAcentral lists this ribosomal RNA (510 nucleotides) under uncultured bacterium. RNAcentral describes it as "bacterial SSU rRNA". It matches the Rfam family "Bacterial small subunit ribosomal RNA", at positions 28 to 527 of the family's 1533-position model. The record is from RNAcentral.